UGAGGAAUAUUGGGCAAUGGGCGAAAGCCUGACCCAGCCACGCCGCGUGUGUGAUGAAGGCCUUCGGGUCGUAAAGCACUGUGGGGAGGGACGAACAUGCGCAUGAGGAAAUGCUUGCGCACUGACGGUACCUCCUUAGCAAGCACCGGCUAACUCUGUGCCAGCAGCCGCGGUAAUACAGAGGGUGCGAACGUUGCUCGGAUUUACUGGGCGUAAAGCGCGUGUAGGCGGACUCGCAAGUCGGUUGUGAAAUCCCUGGGCUCAACCUAGGAACUGCAUCCGAAACUGCUUGUCUUGAGUAAUGGAGAGGGUGGCGGAAUUCCCGGUGUAGAGGUGAAAUUCGUAGAUAUCGGGAGGAAUACCAGCGGCGAAGGCGGCCUUCUGGACGGUGACUGACGCUGAGGUGCGAAAGCGUGGGGAGCAAACAGGAUUAGAUACCCCCGUAGUCC
Molecule: ribosomal RNA, 449 nt
Filed under: uncultured prokaryote
Description: bacterial SSU rRNA
Rfam family: Bacterial small subunit ribosomal RNA
Source: RNAcentral